UGUAAAACUAGACACUAUUUUGUGAAGAUUUUUCUUUAUAAUUCAGUAAAUAAUUGCUUCUUUGGCUGUAAAUUUGACUUUUGUAAAUUUCUAGGUUGUUCUAGACUUUGUCGAUGCUGCACAGUUCUCUUAGCAGCCCACUUCUAUUUCGUAUAGCAGAGCUUGAUAACAGGUUUGGGUCAGUCUCAAUUGCCAGUGGAUAUUACUUUGUUUCAAUUUAUUCAUCUUUUUUCAAAUUUUUGUGCAAAUAUUUUUGAAACCCAAGUAAUUCAAAGUUCAAAUUUAUGUGUAAAUUGAUAGGUGUGGGUGUGGACACCCAAUAUGACUUUUACAUGGUGUUGCUAUCUGGUUUCACAUAAUUAUACUGGGAACCGUCGAAAUUUUGGUUUAGCUGCAGAUAAAACAAAAUCAAAACGUUACAAAGUAGAAGAUACAUUGAUAAUAGAUUUCGUAUCAACUACCAUGCGUCCAACUACGUACCUUCUUCGUUUAAUUUAAAAUGGUCUGCAAUGACAUCCAUCGUAUCAAAAAGUUCGUUCACCUAAUUUAUACUUUUCAUGUAAAAUUCUUACAAAAAGUUUAAACAUCUUUCAGUUUAAAUAA
Non-coding RNA from Malus domestica (apple), 603 nucleotides. The record is from RefSeq and is a predicted model, not a curated record. Lineage: Eukaryota; Viridiplantae; Streptophyta; Magnoliopsida; Rosales; Rosaceae.